AUAAAUAACCGAUUGAGCAUUAGAAUCAAAGCUUUACCUAUGAAAAAGUAUCAAUGGUUAUGUUAUACAUGUCUGGGACAUAAGUAUAUCCCAGUACAUGUAUGCAAAGUUAUCGUUUAUGGAUACAUGAUAUUUCCAAUUUAAUACAUGUAAUAUUGCAUUAUUUUGGAUCGAAUAAAGGUCUUAGUAUGCUGCUUUCUUCCGCAUUAUCCCCGACCUUAAUAUAAAUCAGUGGCAUUAUUAAUGCUACAAACGGUAUCUAGGCAUAUCACGCGUUUUCAAAACAGCCAAUGAGUUUAAAGCGUUGGUUUUGUAUCACGUGAAUCCUAUCAACCAAUCAGAAAUAGCGCGGGCGAAAUAAAAAAAGAAAAACCGGGAUUGGAAAUGGAUAGUAAAUAAAAUUCAGAAUAUUGCAAAACAAGGACAGUUAAAUCUUCUAGAAAUGCAGCUGUGCCCUCUUUACAGCAAUUGUAGAUGAAGCAAAGUAUAGUAGCAGGUUAUAUAGAUAUACACACAUGCCGAAGAGGAUUGUAAUAUCUGGAGAUAACAUUUCCUACGUCACGAAAUAAACACCGUCACACUGGUCUACGUAACAUUCCUAUAGAUGAUUGAUAUAUUUAAGUGAUUUUAAGAACUGUGUUUGAAUGACGAAUUUUUGUGAAUACGGAUUUUUAGUUUUAAUGAUUAUUAUUAAAACUUUCUGUAAUAAUCAAUUUGUGCUUUGGACUCAUUUUCCUAAAAUAAUAUGUGAAUGUUAACACGAACAAAUGAUAUUAAUAUCUUUAAAAUAUUUUAUGGGUGUAAUACAAGUGGCUCAUAAAAAUCAUUGUUAAGAUAAAUAGAAUCGAACUUCAAGUUGGUAUAGUUUGUUCUACAUUUAAACAACAUGCAAUUCAUAAAGGUUACGGCUUGAAAAUAUCGAAACAUGUACAUGUAUAACUCGAUCUCUAAAGAAAAUAUCGCAGUGCGGAUUUUCUCCACUGUGAUACGUAUUUCAUGAUUCUGUAUCGCAUCAUACCGGUAUAUCGCCGUUCCGUUGCAACGCUACAUUAAUUUGUCCCUCAGGAAUAAGGCUUGCAACAAUAUAUGACUGUUGUAGCGAAGACAUGUUUAUUUUGUUUAAUAUAUGUAUACAUAUUGAAUAUAUGUUUAUGAAGUAAUAAAUAUUUAAGAGUGACUCGA
This is a long non-coding RNA of Ruditapes philippinarum (Manila clam), 1182 nucleotides long. RefSeq lists it as uncharacterized. The transcript has 3 exons. The record is from RefSeq and is a predicted model, not a curated record. NCBI's taxonomy places the organism in Eukaryota, Metazoa, Mollusca, Bivalvia, Venerida, Veneridae.